RNAcentral lists this ribosomal RNA (478 nucleotides) under uncultured bacterium. RNAcentral describes it as "partial 16S ribosomal RNA". It matches the Rfam family "Bacterial small subunit ribosomal RNA", at positions 28 to 507 of the family's 1533-position model. The record is from RNAcentral.
GAUUAACGCUGGCGGCGUGCAUAACACAUGCAAGUCGAACGAUGAAACUCAUUAGAUUUCUUCGGAAUGAAAAUGAAUGGAUUAGUGGCGAACGGGUGAGUAACGCGUGAGUAACCUGCCUUACACAAGGGGAUAGCCUCUGGAAACGGAGAAUAAUACCCUAUGAAACCAGACAAUCGCAUGAUAAUCUGGUCAAAAUGUUUAGUGGUGUAAGAUGGACUUGCGUCUGAUUAGCUAGUUGGUGAGAUAAAAGCUCACCAAGGCAACGAUCAGUAGCCGGCUUGAGAGAGUGUACGGCCACAUUGGGACUGAGACACGGCCCAGACUCCUACAGGAGGCAGCAGUGGGGAAUUUUGCACAAUGGGGGAAACCCUGAUGCAGCGACGCCGCGUGAUUUAGAAGGCCUUCGGGUUGUAAAAAUCUUUUGUAUAGGAAGAAAAUGACAGUACUAUACGAAUAAGGUCCGGCUAAUUACGUG